GAGUUUGACCUGGCUCAGGAUAAACGCUGGCGGCAUGCCUAACACAUGCAAGUCGAACGGGGUUUAUAUAGCGGAACUCUCCGGAGGGAAGCCGUAUAAACCUAGUGGCGGACGGGUGAGUAACGCGUGGGGAACCUGCCCUGUACCGGGGGACAACAGCCAGAAAUGGCUGCUAAUACCGCAUAAUCCUGCACUACCGCAUGGUGGUGCAGGGAAAACUCCGGUGGUACAGGAUGGCCCCGCGUCUGAUUAGCUUGUUGGCGGGGUAACGGCCCACCAAGGCAACGAUCAGUAGCCGGCUUGAGAGAGUGAACGGCCACAUUGGGACUGAGACACGGCCCAGACUCCUGCGGGAGGCAGCAGUGGGGAAUAUUGCACAAUGGGGGGAACCCUGAUGCAGCAAUGCCGCGUGGGUGAAGAAGUAUUUCGGUAUGUAAAGCCCUAUCAGCAGGGAAGAAAAUGACGGUACCUGACUAAGAAGCCCCGGCUAACUACGUGCCAGCAGCCGCGGUAAUACGUAGGGGGCGAGCGUUAUCCGGAUUUACUGGGUGUAAAGGGAGCGCAGGCGGCGUGGCAAGUCAGAUGUGAAAACCCGGGGCUCAACCCCGGGACUGCAUUUGAAACUGCCAUGCUGGAGUGCCGGAGAGGUAAGUGGAAUUCCUAGUGUAGCGGUGAAAUGCGUAGAUAUUAGGAGGAACACCAGUGGCGAAGGCGGCUUACUGGACGGUAACUGACGCUGAGGCUCGAAAGCGUGGGGAGCAAACAGGAUUAGAUACCCUGGUAGUCCACGCCGUAAACGAUGGAUACUAGGUGUGGGGGGACUGACCCCCUCCGUGCCGCAGCUAACGCAAUAAGUAUCCCACCUGGGGAGUACGAUCGCAAGGUUGAAACUCAAAGGAAUUGACGG
Molecule: ribosomal RNA, 907 nt
Filed under: uncultured bacterium
Lineage: Bacteria
Description: bacterial SSU rRNA
Rfam family: Bacterial small subunit ribosomal RNA
Source: RNAcentral